Molecule: RNA transcript, 3554 nt
Organism: Populus nigra (black poplar)
Lineage: Eukaryota; Viridiplantae; Streptophyta; Magnoliopsida; Malpighiales; Salicaceae
Gene name: probable carboxylesterase 16
Exons: 2
Source: RefSeq, a predicted model, not a curated record
CCUAUCUAAAACCUUGGGUGUAGCCACCAAGAACAUCCGUGUUGGCUCCUUCUCCUCUCUUUCUCUCCGCGUUUGCCUGCCUGACACAGCUGUCACCUCCCCGUUGCCCUUCAACCCAUGAUCACGGCGGCUAUUUGCCUCCCCCAGGUAACUUUCACUGGUGAUGCUGCAGUUUCACGGUGGCGGGUUUGUGAAAGGCAGCAAUGAAUCGGUAGGGAACGACGCGUUUUGCGGGAGAAUCACGAAACAGUGUGAUGAUAUUAUUGUCGUGGUUGUUGGGUAUAGAUUGGCACCAGAGACCAGGAAUCCGGGGGCUUUUGAAGAUGGGUUCAAGGUUUUGAAUUGGUUAGCAAAACAGUCUAAUUUGGCUGCUUGUGGAAUAGUAGAUGCUCAAAGCCACAUUUUCUAUAGCUUCGAUGCUUCCAUGGUCAAGCCUUGGUUGGCUGCUCAUGGAGAUCCUUCCAGGUUUCUUUUAGAUGAUUUAUUUACCCUAAAGCAAAAGCAGAGGAGGCAGGGGCGGGAGGCAGAGGAGGGCAGCGAGAAUUGUUUGCUGAUAAAGAAUUAAACAUGGACGUGAACAGGAAGGUAAGUGAAGAAGAUAUAGAAGGUGAAGAAGGCGAUCAAAAAAGCAAACAAGUUGACGUCGAGAUCAUCAUCAUCAUUCUCGUCCUUUUAUUCUAACCAGUCCAAUCCCUUUGGUGAUUCCAAUCUCGAUAAGAAAUUUGUGUGGCGCAAAAAGAUUGAGCGUGAUAUUGCGCAAGGGCGGACUUUCUUUUCUCUUAAAACCGAAAGAAGGAGACAGAGAGAGAGAAUGGAAGAGAUUGAAAAGGUUAAGAAAAGAAGAGAGCAAAGGGCACUUGAGAAACGACAGCACGAGGAAGAAAGGGAGUUGUUAGCUAGAGAACGUGCCCGUGCUGAGUUUCAGGAUUGGCAGAAGAAAGAGGAUUGUGCUAUUCCACAAUUGUUGCUAAUGAUGAUGAACGAAAAAAUCAGAUUCAAGAACCUGUGGAACCAGAACCGCCUACAUUAUUGGAGAAGUUCAAUCUGAAUAAAGCCAUGGGAGCUAUGAAGGAAGGUGAUGGAGUAAUUGGCUCUGUCGCUGAAGUGAACCUGGAUUCACAUGCAGGUAGAAUGGUGGUGUGACAAGUACCAACCGAGAAAGCCUAAGUAUGUCAAUACUUUUCACACUGGAUAUGAAUGGAACAAAUAUAACAGGACUCACUACGAUCAUGAAAAUCCACCUCCAAAGAUUGUGCGAGGAUACAAGUUUAAUAUCUUCUACCCAGACAUGAUAAACAGGACAGAGACUCCAACUUAUACAUGCGAGGAUGAUGGGAGCAAUGGGGAGACUUGCAUUAUAAGAUUUCAUGUAGGGCCACCUUAUGAGGACAUUGCAUUCCGAAUUGUGAAGAAAGAUUGGGAUGUGAGCCAUAAAAAAGGAUUCAAGAGCACGUUUGAUGGGGUAAUUUUGCGGCUUCAUUUCAACUUCAGACGUCACUCCUAUCGCAGGUGACAGGUAAACAACUUUGUGGUGGAAUUAUAAAAAAUAUUUUUAUCUGUUGAUUAAUGACGUUUUGAUCAUGAAGUGUCUUUUUCUAUGUUAUGCUUGAUCUUAUGCUAUUUCAAUCCUGCGAAUUGCAGUAAAUAAAUGACUAUAACAUUAUCUUUUAAUUAUCAGACCAAAUUACAGAAAGGAUUGUAAUGAUUGAUUCUGGCCAGAUUUAAAAGCUGCUAUACAUUUUCUUGUGUUUACUGUCACUGACUUUGGAAAGUUAUAACAACAUCCGUCCUUCAUUUUUUUGCCCCAAGUAUCAGUGUUCUGCUACGGAAACAAAGAAUUAUAGCAGAUUCACCAGUGACUAAUAGUAUAUAUCUACAGGUCUAUCACAUUUAUGCAGUUGUCUAUCACAUUAUCACAUUUAUGCAAUGAUUCAAUUAUGCAGUUCAAUUAUGGAUUCUAACAAGACACUAUUACCAUGAUGAUUUCUCUAAUCUUGUUGUAUUCACGUUCUUGCUUGGAAGUAGUUGAGUAAAGCAUCACAUGUUUCAUUCGACACAAGGGCGGGGGGGCUGGUGUUUUAUUGACGCAUCUAGUUGUACAUGUGGGGUUUUUUUUUUUUUUUUAUGAUAGGAUUAUAGAUGGAGAUGUAUUGAUACCUCCUAACUAGAGUGAGACUGCUGAAAGAUUUGAUGAAAAUCGAGAAGCUAAAAACUCCCGUACCUUAUUUUAUGACAAGUUCUUAUCCUACAGUUGAUGAAAUACGCGGGACACGACACGACAUGUCGUGUCAUUUGAUGAUUCUGAUAUUUUUCAGUGCUUAAAUGACAAAAUUAGACGUUUUGUGCUGAUAAGAGGAGAGAUGCUUGGAAGGAAUCCAGAUUCCUACUGUAGAAUCAAACUGUAUGCAAGUUGUCAUUUAUAGUAGCAUCAGUUUUGCUGGUAUUACCUUUUACAGAACUCAUUUUUAUCAAUGGUAGAGAGAUGAGUGGCACUCCCAAUGCAGAUCCAAUUGCUAACAAUGUCCCCUACCUUACUGCCAGUUCCACCAUCUAAAAGGAAUCUCUCUUCCAUCAAAAGACAAAACAGAGAGGAAAACGGAAUCUGAAAAGAGAAGAGAUAAGAUUGCUAUGACAACUCCAAUAAUAGAGCAAAACAAGUCUUGCUAGUGUAGAGAUCCAAUAAGGGACUAAAAUCUUUCUACCCAGAACAUUGAAAAAAAUGAAGAAUCAUCAAAGUAAAUGUAGCUAGUUAAUUCGAGAUUUUAUUGGAUUAUAAUUGAUAUGUGAUGAUCUCUUGUUACAAAGCAGAUGAUUCUAGCUCUCUUCAAAUUGUAAUUACAGAGCUGAUUCUAAAAAUGGAGGAAAGACAAUAAAACUCUAUGAUACCAAUCUCUUCUUGGUCAGAUGGCAGAAAAUUUACGAGUUCAAUCAAACCCAACAUCCAUCUUUAAGAAAGGAGAGGGGAGGAGAAAAAAAAGCAAGAAGAAACAACCAAGAAGGUACACUUGAUCCCUUACUCGAUCUCUUUGCAUGUUCCUUCAAGAAUCACCAUGUUUGUGCCAACAAACAAGCAUGGCAACACAGCGCCUCAUGAUAUAAAACCUUGCCUUCUGUUCCUUGGCUAAGCUACUACAUUUAUGUGAAAUAGAAGAGUUUUUUUGAGAGAAACUCCUUGGAAGAGGGCACUUUGGAGAAGAGCUCUUAAGGGACGAGGUCCUCAAGAGAGGAGCCUUGGAAGAUGAACUCUUAGUCGAGAAACUUCUUGUGAAAGAAGAUGAACCUUCUUUCUUUGAUAACUUCCACUUCUCAUCCAUCUACGAACCUUAGAAGCUACAAGUGACUAGCUAGUAACAGCAACUGAUAUGGUUCUUCUCUGUAUGUACUAUAUACGUGUGAUAGUGCGAAAGAGUUGGUGUGUGUGUGUGUGUGAGAGAGAGAGAGAGAGAGAGAUAAGAUCAAGGAUGGGACUCGCUCAGUGAGUGGGCUUUUUAUUAUAUAUUGUAAUGGCGAUUCGGAUUUCAAGAUGCGAACCAGUAUUUCAUUUGGUGCUGAAA